Molecule: ribosomal RNA, 318 nt
Filed under: uncultured eukaryote
Lineage: Eukaryota
Description: partial 18S ribosomal RNA
Rfam family: Eukaryotic small subunit ribosomal RNA
Source: RNAcentral
CCCUUAGAUGUUCUGGGCUGCACGCGCGCUACACUGACACACUCAGCGAGUCUCCUGGCCCGAGAGGGUUGGGUAAUCAUGUGAGCGUGUGUCGUGAUGGGGAUAGAAUAUUGUAAUUAUUGCUCUUCAACGAGGAAUUCCUAGUAAACGCAAGUCAUCAGCUUGCAUUGAUUACGUCCCUGCCCUUUGUACACACCGCCCGUCGCACCUACCGAUUGAAUGGUCCGGUGAAAUCUCGGGACGGCGGCUUGGUCGCUUGCGUCCGACUGCUGAAACUUGAUUAAACCAUAUCAUUUAGAGGAAGGUGAAGUCGUANCA